UACGGAGGGAGCUAGCGUUGUUCGGAAUUACUGGGCGUAAAGCGCACGUAGGCGGCUUUGUAAGUUAGAGGUGAAAGCCCAGGGCUUAACCCUGGAAUUGCCUUUAAGACUGCAUCGCUAGAAUCGUGGAGAGGUGAGUGGAAUUCCGAGUGUAGAGGUGAAAUUCGUAGAUAUACGGAAGAACACCAGUGGCGAAGGCGACUCACUGGACACGUAUUGACGCUGAGGUGCGAAAGCGUGGGGAGCAAGCAGG
Molecule: ribosomal RNA, 253 nt
Filed under: uncultured bacterium
Lineage: Bacteria
Description: partial 16S ribosomal RNA
Rfam family: Bacterial small subunit ribosomal RNA
Source: RNAcentral